UAACCCGCCCUCUGUAAAUAUAAAUGGCCGCAGUAUUUUGACUGUGCUAAGGUAGCAUCAUCAUUAGUUUUUUAAUUAAAAGCUGGAAUGAAAGGUUGAAUGAAAAAGUAUCUUUAUUUAUUUAAUAUAAUUAAAAUUUUAUUUUUAAGUUAAAAAGCUUAGAUGUAUAUUAAAGACGAGAAGACCCUAUAGAGUUUUAUAUUUAUUAUUAUUAUUAUAAUUUAGUAUUAUGUUUAAUUUAAUAUUAUAUAUUAAGUUGGGGUGAAUAAAAAAAUAAUAAAACUUUUCCUUCAUAUUAAUAUUAUUAAAUAAAUAAAUGAUCCUAAUUAUAGAUUAAAAGUUAAAAUUACCUUAGGGAUAACAGCGUAAUUUUAUUAAAGAGUUCAUAUCGAAAAUAAAGAUUGCGACCUCGAUGUUGGAUUAAAAUCUAUUUUUAGUGUAGAAGCUAAA
This 450-nucleotide ribosomal RNA is filed under the name Ivalia cf. excavata AFD-234. RNAcentral's name for it is "partial large subunit ribosomal RNA". Lineage: Eukaryota; Metazoa; Arthropoda; Insecta; Coleoptera; Chrysomelidae. The record is from RNAcentral.